CCUCCAUGCUUCCAAGAAAAGCAUCUAGAGAGAGAAGUAGUGCCCGUACCGCAAACCGACACAGGUAGAUGAGGAGAGAAUCCUAAGGCCGGCGGAAGAAUUGCAGUUAAGGAACUAGGCAAAUUGACCCCGUAAGUUAGCGAGAAGGGGUGCCUGCGAGAGCAGGCCGCAGAGAAUAGGCCCAAGCAACUGUUUAGCAAAAACACAGGUCUCUGCUAAAGCGCAAGCUGAUGUAUAGGGGCUGACGCCUGCCCGGUGCUGGAAGGUUAAGGGGAACACUUAGCGCAAGCGAAGGUGUGAACUUAAGCCCCAGUAAACGGCGGCCGUAACAAUAACGGUCCUAAGGUAGCGAAAUUCCUUGUCAGGUAAGUUCUGACCCGCACGAAUGGCGUAAUGACUUGGGCACUGUCUCAACUGCAAAUCCGGCGAAGUUGUAGUGCGAGUGAAGAUGCUCGCUACCCGCGAUUGGACGGAAAGACCCCGUAGAGCUUUACUGUAGCUUAGCAUUGAAUUCCGGUAUUGUCUGUACAGGAUAGGUGGGAGACUGGGAAACUAGGGCGUCAGCCUUGGUGGAGUCGUCCUUGGGAUACCACCCUGACAGUACUGGGGUUCUAACAGGACGCCAUGAAUCUGGUGACUGGACAUUGUUAGGUGGGCAGUUUGACUGGGGCGGUCGCCUCCUAAAAAGUAACGGAGGCGCCCAAAGGUUCCCUCAGAACGGUCGGAAAUCGUUCGUAGAGUGCAAAGGCAGAAGGGAGCCUGACUGCGAGACCUACAAGUCGAGCAGGGACGAAAGUCGGGCUUAGUGAUCCGGUGGUACCUCGUGGGAGGGCCAUCGCUCAACGGAUAAAAGCUACCUCGGGGAUAACAGGCUGAUCUCCCCCAAGAGUCCACAACGACGGGGAGGUUUGGCACCUCGAUGUCGGCUCGUCGCAUCCUGGGGCUGUAGUAGGUCCCAAGGGUUGGGCUGUUCGCCCAUUAAAGCGGCACGCGAGCUGGGUUCAGAACGUCGUGAGACAGUUCGGUCCCUAUCCGUCGCGGGCGUAGGAAAUUUGAGAGGAGCUGUCCUUAGUACGAGAGGACCGGGAUGGACUGACCUCUGGUGCACCAGUUGUUCUGCCAAGAGCAUGGCUGGGUAGCUAAGUCGGGAAGGGAUAAACGCUGAAAGCAUCUAAGCGUGAAGCCUCCCUCAAGAUGAGAUUUCCCAUAGCAUAAGCUAGUAAGACCCCUUGAAGAACACGAGGUUGAUAGGUCAGAGGUGUAAGUAUGGUAACAUAUUUAGCUGACUGAUACUAAUAGGUCGAGGGCUUGAC
RNAcentral lists this ribosomal RNA (1313 nucleotides) under metagenome. Its description in RNAcentral is "bacterial LSU rRNA". It matches the Rfam family "Bacterial large subunit ribosomal RNA", at positions 1597 to 2925 of the family's 2925-position model. The record is from RNAcentral.